Molecule: non-coding RNA, 108 nt
Organism: Ceratotherium simum simum (southern white rhinoceros)
Lineage: Eukaryota; Metazoa; Chordata; Mammalia; Perissodactyla; Rhinocerotidae
Source: RefSeq, a predicted model, not a curated record
AGGUACACUCUGUGAUGGUCAUACGAUGACGAAAUUGCCUAACGACACAUUUCUCAGCAUCUAUCCCUGUCGUUGAGUGACACGUGACUGUCUUCCAGGGUAAGCCUG